RNAcentral lists this ribosomal RNA (470 nucleotides) under uncultured bacterium. RNAcentral's name for it is "partial 16S ribosomal RNA". It matches the Rfam family "Bacterial small subunit ribosomal RNA", at positions 28 to 507 of the family's 1533-position model. The record is from RNAcentral.
GACGAACGCUGGCUGCGUGCUUAACACAUGCAAGUCGAACGCUGAAGCCCCAGCUUGCUGGGGUGGAUGAGUGGCGAACGGGUGAGUAACACGUGAGUAACCUGCCCCUGACUUCGGGAUAAGCCCGGGAAACUGGGUCUAAUACCGGAUACGACUAUCGGACGCAUGCCUGGUGGUGGAAAGUUUUUUCGGUUGGGGAUGGGCUCGCGGCCUAUCAGUUUGUUGGUGAGGUAAUGGCUCACCAAGACGACGACGGGUAGCCGGCCUGAGAGGGCGACCGGCCACACUGGGGCUGAGACACGGCCCCGGCUCCUCCGGGGGGCAGCAGUGGGGAAUAUUGCACAAUGGGGGAAACCCUGAUGCAGCGACGCCGCGUGCGGGAUGACGGCCUUCGGGUUUUAAACCGCUUUCAGCAGGGAAGAAGCCUUCGGGUGACGGUACCUGCAGAAGAAGUACCGGCUAACUACGUG